Chrysemys picta bellii (western painted turtle) is the source of this 2763-nucleotide non-coding RNA. NCBI's taxonomy places the organism in Eukaryota, Metazoa, Chordata, Testudines, Emydidae. The record is from RefSeq and is a predicted model, not a curated record.
ACACUAUCUGCCUGUCAGAAGAGCCAAGGCUGGGUAGAGCAGGAUCUAUAUAAGGCUUGUAACUAGGGGAAGCCCAACAAACAGCUACAAACACCUAAGUUAUUUUACUCAGCCUCCACCCUUCUGCUUUUUCCCCCCUCUUCUCACUCUCUUUUUUUUCCUUUUCAUCUUGGCUUUCUGUUGCAGAAUGCAAAUGUAGCCUGCCGGCGGUGAAUGGGCUGAAUUGUGAUUAAGAAGAAGAAGAGCUCCUUUCUUUGUUCUCCCCUCAGGGGAUGUUUACUGGGAGAGACACAGCGGAUCAGAUAUGAAAGGCAUUCAGACGCCUUGGAAGCACUGAACGUUCUCCCUCUUCUUUACAACUGGAAGCGAGAUGGCAAAGAAAUCAGAGAGAGAUGUCUACUGGAACUUUGGAGAAAAUUAGACCCAACUUUUCUUUUCUCCUCUUCCUCCCCCAAACAUUUUUGCUUUUAAAGGGGACAACUCAACUCCCAAUUCAUGCCAUGCCAGAGAGAUUUGUUUUAAGGAAAGCGUGUUUGUGCCUAGUCAUCUCUCCCUGAGAAGGAGAAAGAGGGAGUGAUGAGAAAUCAAUCCCCUUCCCCUUAUUUCUAAGGCUCUGCGUGCAUCAGGAAGAGAGAAUGAGGCAGCAUCUCCAGUGAGACCGCUCCAGUUACAAACAGGGGCAACACCAACAGCAAACGCCAAACUUUGAGAGAGAGGAGAGACCCUGAAACACACGCCACCUAUCUUUGUGGGGAGGGAUAAUUGAAGAGCACCAAACGUGAGCAUCAUGUGGAAACGUGAUCGCCAAGUUUCUCUCUGGGAAAGGAUCUGGGAUAGAUUAUACCUUGAAGUCUCCGCAAACGCUUUAGUGGAAGAAAUGAAAUUCCACCUCCUCCCGCUCUGUACUCCCUCCUCCCUCUCUCCGACCCUCGCUCCCUUUCCUCCCUCCUCCUCCCCCCCCCCCCCCCCAACCCAUCAAGUCUUUGGCAUCAUUAUCCUCUUCACUAAAUCCUACUGGAUACACGGCGGAAAACGGUGAACACCAUUCACAGAACUGGAUAACUCAAAGGAACUGAAAGUUAAAGGGAGCGAUCCUGUGUCUUUCAAUCAAGAUCCCUACUUCUUUUUACAGAGAUAGCUCUAAUGGCCAGAUUCUGCAGGCACAUUGACUUGGGUAGCUGUGUCAGCAUGGUUUCUAGCAGGGAAGUCUCCUUCUCCUUCUCAGUCCCCCCUCCACCCCUUACCCCCUUCUUUCAGAUGAGCACACCAUAGCUCAAAAUUAUGGGUAGAAACUAAACACUGUAUUUGAAUUGAAAAAAGGCACCGAGUUGACUUCCGAUCAUUUUGUUGUUGUUGUUUGUUGUUGUUUCGAGGCUCAACCAUCUUAUUUGAAUUGUCCGUUAUAUCUGGUGAAAAACGUGAGAUUUGACAUUCUUUCUGUUUUGUUCCCAGAUAUGCUCAUGGGGUGAAAUGGCUCUUUUUCUGUCUCUCUUCCCUUUUUGGGGGGAAGGAGGUAGCUAGCUAGAGUGACUGGGUGAGUGGUACUGAACUUGUGGGGAUAACAAGUUUAACAGUUUUUAAAACAGGAAAAUAAUAAUAAUAAUUAUAAUAAUACUAAUAAUAUUAAAAACAGACUCCACCUUUGCACUGGAGGGAUUGGUUAUGCAAAUCUGGAAGGGGUUUCCUGGCAAAUACAGCUUUCUACUGUAUGGUUAAUUAAAUCAUCACUCAAAAGCUUUCCAAUGUGACGCUUCUGUCGUAAUCCAAUCAGGGUACGUAGGUCCUAAACAAGAAAGAUAUUUUCCACAUCUGGAAGUCAGCAAUUUAGCAAGUACUGCACAUUAUUAACCAAUUCAGAGCCCACUUCCCAGGGGGAUUUUUUUUUGAAGUUUAAGUGUUCUUAACCAAUGCUCUGCUGUUUUGUUAAUCAAAAAGCUGGUUUGCACUGCACAUAAUUGGAAACUAAUAUAGAAGUAACUAAAGACAGCUAAAUUCGGUCAGCAAAGGCGUUUAUCUGAAAAGGGGGAAAAAUCUCUGAGCCUUGAUCAGUUCAUGCCCAGCUCUUCACAGAACUCACAUACGGUUCCUUCUCUGGAAGAGCUUUACAUACUCUCAAUGUAAAGAUGAACUUCAAAUCCUACAUGUUUGUAUGAUCUUUCUGAAGGUAAACGUGGAGCUGCCCAAGGGGCUGUAUUAGCGGGCUCCGUAUGAAUUUCCCUUCUUUGACAGAGUUAAAUCUAUUACUGCACUCCCCCCCCCAGAAGUAAACUGAAACAAAUGGUACACUGAUCCGACACUAUACUUUUACUUACAUUAAGCUAAGAUAAACUGCUCUUGAACUGUGCAUUGAAUGUGUGCCUAAAGCAAGAAUUGUAAUGCUAGCAAUAGUCACUAGCAAUUGCAUUCAAAAAUGCUCCUGAUCAGAGCACACCUUUCAAAGUGCAUUUGCAAAUCAUCGCUUCCUCAGAGAUCUGAUGAAUAUUUUUAUCUGUUAAUAAAGCUACCCUCCGAUUUAAAAAACAAAUCUGAAUGCACUGCGCUGGCAAUCGCCCGAUCACACAAUUUUGGGGGAAAUAGGGAAGACUGAACAGUUGGUUACAGUAUAGGAUUUGGACACAUCUGGGGACUGUAACUGUCAAUGCAACUAAUGAAUAUAAACUGAGUGUUAUUAGAAACCUGAGAUGUCUUUAGUGUAGGCAGAUUUUAGAGCAAUAACCACAAAAUCUUUUUUUAACAGUUCCAAAUAAAAUCCUCAGCUCACAG